Alosa sapidissima (American shad) is the source of this 761-nucleotide long non-coding RNA. RefSeq lists it as uncharacterized. The transcript has 4 exons. The record is from RefSeq and is a predicted model, not a curated record. Lineage: Eukaryota; Metazoa; Chordata; Actinopteri; Clupeiformes; Clupeidae.
UUUUGUUACCGAUUUGGAAGCACUGGUUCAGAUUAGAAGACACCAUGUCGAAGUACCAUGCAAAAUGCUCUGUUGUUGGCUGUACAAAAGAGCACAAAACACUUCAUCGUGUCCCAGCCGAAGAGGACAGAAGAGCGGCAUGGAUUGAAUUUAUUUUUGAUGGCAAUAUCCAUGCUACAGUUGGCAAGAAACUGGCAACAAUCAUUUCGAGACUGACUGUUUCUCAAACUACGGUCAGUACAAGGCAGGAUUAGCCUGGGAAACUCAUCUUAAACGACGGUGCAGUUCCAACUUUGCGCGAAAUACAUGCAGACGAGGAACAUGAACUCCUGCGUUCUACAAUCUAGAAAAAGGAGCUGACCAAGAAGACUGUCCUGAAGAAUAUUGCCAAACUCAGUCCCCACUACCAGACGUCCUCUUUGGAGGCGUUCCAUAGUGUCAUUCUGCGGUUCGCACCCAAAAACGUGGUCUAUCCAUAUCUGGGAAUGCUGUGCAGAAUGCUAAUCGAGGACAAGCCACCACAUCUUCAAGGGAUCCUCUUUACAAACUGAGCUUUCCAAAAUCCAGGAAGGGAGAGUGGAUUUUGGAAAGCCAGAGCUUUGAAGACAGACGCUACAUUCCGGUAUGUUGAUGAUUUGAUGGACAUGAUCAUGGAGAAAGUCUUUGUUGACCCAUCGUCGUAUGGAGACGAGAUUCUGAAGAUAAACAUCCCGCUGGACCUGUCUUCACAAUAUGAGCAUCCAGACAAGGAGGAGGUCAUC